AUCGAGACUAGAGUCACAUCUUAACAUGUUUCUGUUUCAUUGUCUUGGUGUGCUGUAGUUCUUGGACAUAAAUGUCUGAUCCUGUUCACUGGCUGCGAUGUCUCCAAUCUCAGCCAGCCAUUGAAUCAGUGACACUA
RNAcentral lists this small nucleolar RNA (137 nucleotides) under Chlamydotis macqueenii (Macqueen's bustard). Its description in RNAcentral is "Chlamydotis undulata macqueenii Small nucleolar RNA SNORA3/SNORA45 family". It matches the Rfam family "Small nucleolar RNA SNORA3/SNORA45 family". Rfam says of the family: The members of this family belong to the H/ACA class of snoRNAs which are thought to guide the sites of modification of uridines to pseudouridines. This family includes mouse snoMBI-28 and human homologues ACA3 (SNORA3) and ACA3-2 (SNORA45). Lineage: Eukaryota; Metazoa; Chordata; Aves; Otidiformes; Otididae. The record is from Rfam by way of RNAcentral.